RNA transcript from Ipomoea triloba (trilobed morning glory), 869 nucleotides. RefSeq lists it as uncharacterized. The transcript has 2 exons. NCBI's taxonomy places the organism in Eukaryota, Viridiplantae, Streptophyta, Magnoliopsida, Solanales, Convolvulaceae. The record is from RefSeq and is a predicted model, not a curated record.
AUUUUGUGAUUGGAUCAGAUGAUGAUGUUUAAUGUGUGCGCAUGUGUUUUUAUUUUUGAGGGGGGUAAUUUUAGUUUUUUACUGAAAUAAACCUAGUGUUAUUCGCUCAGCAGUUCACACGCGCCCGUAUUUUUCGCUUUUCACUCGUUCGAUUCUCGCUUCAGUCAUAGGUUUGGGGGUUUUGGGUUCUUCUAUGUGCCGAUUUCAAUUCCUCUUUGUUCUCCGCAUUGCAAUGGUCGCUGGUGGGUGCCGCAGUCGAGCCAAGCGUCGAAGACCUCUUGCUAGCGGCAUCGAUCGAGAAUGAUAUACUAUUUGAGGUUUUUCGACAGACGAGUCUUGUGAAGUCAGCGAUUUGUGUGUCGUGGAGGAUAAGAGGAUGCAAAUGUCUUGGCGAGAUUCGAAGAAUAGAACUGACUGUGGGGUUUAUCUCAUGCGUCACAUGAAGACGUAUGUUGGGCAAGGGGUGCCUAAGUGGGAAUGCGGCCUUGGUAAGGGUGAAACUACUAAGCUGCACCAAUUGAGGCUUCACUACAUGAAGGAGCUAGUGAUUUUAGUAUUCACUGCUCAUAAAUCCAGGAAUUUAAGCCGAGCGUACCAGUAUAUUAAUACUCUAAUAGCGCCUUCGUAGACAUGUGUUCCCACUGUGUCGUUUUGUCCAUUUCCAGCUUCUCGUAUAUUAGAAUAACUAUUGAUAACUAUCUACGGUGUGGAGACAGUUUUUGCACACGCUUUACCUUUGUGGUUUGCCCAUUUGUAAUUAUACUCAGGUCUCUCGUUUAGUUUUCGUGCUAUUUUUUUGUCUAAGGUAUUUCACAAUUAACCUUUUAUGCAUUGGCUUUUUUGUCUGUGUACUUUAUCCACCUUUUCUA